Molecule: long non-coding RNA, 850 nt
Filed under: Ananas comosus (pineapple)
Lineage: Eukaryota; Viridiplantae; Streptophyta; Magnoliopsida; Poales; Bromeliaceae
Description: long non-coding RNA (ACOM_LNC000754)
Source: RNAcentral
AAAAAAGUAAUUUUAUAUUUUUAAAAAUCAAAAUUUUUUUUACAUCUAUAAAUACUACUACAAACAUCUAAAUUCAUCAUAACAAACAAUUCUUUAUUCAUCUAGAGAUGUCAACGGGUUGGAUUCAGGGCAGAUUUUAAAAAACCCGAACCCGAACCCGACUCCCAACUUGAGAUCCGAACCCGAACCCGAAUCCGACGGAUUUCAAAAAUCCAUAUCCAAACCCGAACCUGACCAAUUUUUCAAAACCUAAAAUCCGAACCCAAAGAUCAGAAGCCGAAAUAAUUAUUUCUCUUUACCAUAUUUCAAAAUAUUUAUAUUAAAUUUAAAAUUUUAAAACUUAAAUUUGAAUAUAAUAUUAAACUUUAUAUAUUAUUCGGGUCAGAUUCAAAAUUUAAAAAUAUAAGAGGAAAGAAGAGAGAGGAAAAGAAAACAAAAAGAGAAUAAAAAUUUUGAUAAUAUAGUAGAGAAAAAAUAACUAAAUUGCUCAUAUAUUAAAAGACANUUGAUCUAGCAUAUUUGAAGUAUCUAGAAAAUAAAUUUUGCGAUUUUUCGAUAUCGUUUACUUAGUGAUCGAAAGGGUUCAAAAUCAACGGCUGAAAAUAAAAAUCUCAUAAAAAGUGGUGAUAAAGUACUAAAAUUUUCGAUCAGAGAUAUUGAACUUGCUGUAAAUAAUAUAAAGAAUUUUCUAUCAUAAUUUCAUUUGAUUUGGAUAUUUCUACGCCGUUAAACUUGAAACAGCAGAUAUCGACCAUUAAAAAUUAUUAAUUUUGAAUUUUUUCGAUCACUAAGUAAACGAUAUCGAAAAAUCUCAAAAUAUUUUUUAUAUAUACUUCAAAUAAGCUAUAUC